RNAcentral lists this ribosomal RNA (386 nucleotides) under uncultured bacterium. RNAcentral describes it as "partial 16S ribosomal RNA". It matches the Rfam family "Bacterial small subunit ribosomal RNA", at positions 355 to 733 of the family's 1533-position model. The record is from RNAcentral.
UGGGGAAUUUUGGACAAUGGGCGAAAGCUGAUCCAGCAAUGCCGCGUGUGUGAAGAAGGCCUUCGGGUUGUAAAGCACUUUUUGUCCGGAAAGAAAUCCUUGGCUCUAAUACAGUCGGGGGAUGACGGUACCGGAAGAAUAAGCACCGGCUAACUNCGUGCCAGCAGCCGCGGUAAUACGUAGGGUGCAAGCGUUAAUCGGAAUUACUGGGCGUAAAGCGUGCGCAGGCGGUUUGCUAAGACCGAUGUGAAAUCCCCGGGCUCAACCUGGGAACUGCAUUGGUGACUGGCAGGCUAGAGUAUGGCAGAGGGGGGUAGAAUUCCACGUGUAGCAGUGAAAUGCGUAGAGAUGUGGAGGAAUACCGAUGGCGAAGGCAGCCCCCUGGG